Molecule: long non-coding RNA, 561 nt
Filed under: Brassica napus (rape)
Lineage: Eukaryota; Viridiplantae; Streptophyta; Magnoliopsida; Brassicales; Brassicaceae
Description: long non-coding RNA (BNAP_LNC015322)
Source: RNAcentral
CAAUAUACAUUCACUCAUCUAUGUUGAAAAUAAUUCAAUUUCAGAUGGAUUAAACUUACAUCAUUGAAAAAUGUUUAUUAUUAUAUGAUUUUAAUUUUUUACCCAUCAAAAUAUUUUUUAUAAAAUUAUUUUUAAGAUCUACUAAACGAGAAGACUUACAAAGAAGUCAUAGAGAAGACUUACAAAGAAGUCAUUAUAGAUAAGACUUACAAAGAAGUCUUCUCCAACGGAGGAUUAUAAUGGUAAAAUUGAAAACAGGUUUUUUGUUUGUUCAUAAGGGGACUGUUGUAAUUUCACUAGGCUUUUAGGUUACUUUUGCAUUUGAUUGAAUUUGUGGUACACUUUUGUAUUCAAAAUCAAGUUUUGAGUCAUUUUUGGCAAAUCCCCCAUAUUUAUUUUUAGAUCUUAUCCGAGAUUUGUUUUUGAAUUUAACUGUAAUAUAAAGUUUUCUAAAGCAUUAGAUUUUGACUUUAUAUCUUUGAUCUCUUAACAACUUAAACAAUAUGCACUUUAUUAGGAACUAGAUUAUGAUCCGCGCCUUGCGUGAGAUAAACAUUAUAU